GGAUGUCAGGGUGAUCUGGCUGUGACAUAUGUCGCCCCAUUGAUCACCAGGGCUGAUUCGGCUGAUCUGGAUGGCUAGGCGGGUGUCCCCUUCCUCCCUCACUGCUCCAUGUGCGUCCCUCCCAAAGGUGUGUACUCGGUCGAAGAGGCCGACCAUCCCCACUAGAGGAGGACCGGUCUUCGGUCAAGGGUAUAUGAGUAGUUGGGCUCUCCUGCUAGAACCUCCAAACAAGCUCUCAAAUGACAGCGCAAAACCCAAACAAAGCCUCCAUAUAUUCACAGAGAGAAAUAACAUGAAUAGAGCCAAAUGUAUAGCAUGAGUAU
This is an unclassified non-coding RNA of Ochotona princeps (American pika), 323 nucleotides long. Its record names the gene 7SK. It matches the Rfam family "7SK RNA". Rfam says of the family: 7SK was discovered as an abundant small nuclear RNA in the mid-70s but a possible function has only recently been suggested. Two independent studies have found that 7SK RNA binds the CDK9/cyclin T complex (known as elongation factor P-TEFb). The record is from Ensembl. NCBI's taxonomy places the organism in Eukaryota, Metazoa, Chordata, Mammalia, Lagomorpha, Ochotonidae.